UUGAGCCGUAUGUUUUGAAAGAGACUUGUACGGUUCUUAGGGAGGAAGGAAGCCGAAAGGUUUCUGACCUACCCGAC
Molecule: non-coding RNA, 77 nt
Filed under: Clostridium botulinum A3 str. Loch Maree
Lineage: Bacteria; Bacillati; Bacillota; Clostridia; Eubacteriales; Clostridiaceae
Source: RNAcentral